GAGAAGCUUAAAAGUAUGUUAGAGACAGUUGACAAACCAGCAACUAACAAUUCUCAAUCAAGGAAUCCGGGUAUGUGUUCAUUGACACUUUCAGGACCGGGGCUCGGGGAAGAGGAUUGGACUAGCUAAGGAGCAUGAUGGACUCUAUUACUUGGAUACAUCAAGUCAACCAGAAUUUAGUAAAUCUGCCCUGUCCACAUUGUCUUCACCCUCCAAUAAAGAUGUCAUCUGGUUACAUCAUAGACGUCUAGGUCAUGUGUCUUUUUCUGCAUUAAAAAUAAUGUUUCCUUCCUUGUUCAAGGGAUUUGAUGUUCAGUCUUUUCAUUGUGAUAUUUGCGAGUAUGCUAAACACACUCGUGUCCCAUUUCCUAUCAGUAAUAAACGAUCGUCUUCUCCUUUCUUUUUAA
Coffea eugenioides is the source of this 407-nucleotide long non-coding RNA. RefSeq lists it as uncharacterized. The record is from RefSeq and is a predicted model, not a curated record. NCBI's taxonomy places the organism in Eukaryota, Viridiplantae, Streptophyta, Magnoliopsida, Gentianales, Rubiaceae. The transcript has 2 exons.